UACGUAGGGUGCAAGCGUUGUCCGGAAUCAUUGGGCGUAAAGCGCGCGUAGGCGGCCCGGUAAGUCCGCUGUGAAAGUCAAAGGCUCAACCUUUGAAUGUCAGCGGAUACUGCCGGGCUAGAGUCCGGAAGAGGCGAGUGGAACUCCUGGUGUAGCGGUGGAAUGCGCAGAUAUCAGGAAGAACACCAACGGCGAAGGCAGCUCGCUGGGACGGAACUGACGCUAAGGCGCGAAAGCGUGGGGAGCGAACAGG
This 253-nucleotide ribosomal RNA is filed under the name uncultured bacterium. RNAcentral describes it as "partial 16S ribosomal RNA". It matches the Rfam family "Bacterial small subunit ribosomal RNA", at positions 524 to 776 of the family's 1533-position model. The record is from RNAcentral.